AAAGGAGUAGGUCCGGUAAGGGCCGAUUUUGGCCUCAAAUUUCAGGUUCAUCUAACGAAAGUUUUUGGACACUUUUUAAACACUAAAGUGUCUAUUUCAAUUGAUUUGAUUAGUUUAUGUGAGAGAUUUUAACUGAUUUAGUCAUUAAAAACGCUCUGAUUCAAGCUUAAAUAUGAAAAAUCUCUCAAAUAUGCCAAAAAACGUUACUUUUCACAUAGUUUUUGUCAAAAAUGAAAGUGGCCGCAUCCGUGUUCAUCCUCAACCUUUAUAUAUGUUUUGUAUUAUC
This 286-nucleotide long non-coding RNA is filed under the name Mytilus galloprovincialis (Mediterranean mussel). Lineage: Eukaryota; Metazoa; Mollusca; Bivalvia; Mytilida; Mytilidae. The record is from RNAcentral.